Molecule: small RNA, 80 nt
Filed under: Salmonella enterica subsp. enterica serovar Kentucky
Lineage: Bacteria; Pseudomonadati; Pseudomonadota; Gammaproteobacteria; Enterobacterales; Enterobacteriaceae
Description: partial RtT sRNA
Rfam family: RtT RNA
About the family: This family represents a bacterial cis-regulatory element known as RtT RNA.
Source: RNAcentral
AAUAAAGCGUGAAGGAUAACGUUGCGUCAGCAACGGCCCGUAGGGCGAGGCGAAGCCGAGUCAUCCUGCACGACCCACCG